This 471-nucleotide ribosomal RNA is filed under the name unidentified nematode Sourhope farm. RNAcentral describes it as "SSU rRNA". It matches the Rfam family "Eukaryotic small subunit ribosomal RNA", at positions 61 to 529 of the family's 1831-position model. Lineage: Eukaryota; Metazoa; Nematoda. The record is from RNAcentral.
AAGCACAUGCCUUAAAACGGUGAAGCCGCGAAUAGCUCAUUACAACAGCCAUCGUUUAUUAGAAUAUCGUUAUCCUACUUGGAUAACUGUGGCAAUUCUAGAGCUCAUACAUGCAAUAAAGCUCUGCCCGCAAGGAACGAGCGCAUUUAUUAGAAUAAAAACCAAUCGGGUUUCGGCCCGUAAUUUGGUGAAUCUGAAUAACUUUGCCAAUCGCACAGUCCUAGUACUGGCGAUGUAUCUUUCAAGUGUCUGCCUUAUCAACUUUCGAUGGUACGCUAUACGCCUACCAUGGUAGUAACGGGUAACGGAGAAUAAGGGUUCGACUCCGGAGAGGGAGCCUGAGAAACGGCUACCACAUCCAAGGAAGGCAGCAGGCGCGCAAAUUACCCACUUCCAGAACGGAGAGGUAGUGACGAAAAAUAACGAGACAGUCCUCUUCGAGGUCUGUCAUCGGAAUGGGUACAAUUUAAA